RNAcentral lists this long non-coding RNA (348 nucleotides) under Lathyrus oleraceus (garden pea). Its description in RNAcentral is "Pisum sativum (pea) long non-coding RNA (PSAT_LNC036190)". Lineage: Eukaryota; Viridiplantae; Streptophyta; Magnoliopsida; Fabales; Fabaceae. The record is from RNAcentral.
GAGUAUAACAUAUUUUUUAAUUUUUUUUAGACUUUUUAAUUUAAACAUAAUAAUUAAGCGAAAGACAUGUGAAUGAGAGGAUGGAGCUUCUUACUCAAUAAAACUAUUUAAAAAAUAAUAAUAUCACUAUUCACUUUAAUUUUAACAACAAUGACAAAGAUUAAUAUAUUCAUAUAAGAUACGUUUUUCAGAAAAAAUAAUAUUAACCAUGUUUGCCUGUUUUAGUUACACAAAUUUUUUUAAGCAAAAUCUAUUAGAUCAAUCAUUUUGAGAGGAAGAGAUAUUUCUUUAUUAUUUGUAGAAAUGCUAAUAACACGAUCCUACCAAUAUAAGUACCAAGCAAUAAAA